Molecule: ribosomal RNA, 1599 nt
Filed under: Meloidogyne incognita (southern root-knot nematode)
Lineage: Eukaryota; Metazoa; Nematoda; Chromadorea; Rhabditida; Meloidogynidae
Description: SSU rRNA
Rfam family: Eukaryotic small subunit ribosomal RNA
Source: RNAcentral
UUACUUGAUCUUGAUUGUCUAAAUGGAUAACUGUGGAAAAGCUAGAGCUAAUACAUGCACUAAAGCUUUGUCCUUACGGAAAAGCGCAUUUAUUAGAACAAAACCACGCGGCUUCGGCUGCUUCUUGUUGACUCAGAAUAACUUAGCUGACCGCAUGGCCUUGUGCCGGCGGCGUGUCUUUCAAGCGUCCACUUUAUCAACUUGACGGGAGCAUAAUCGACUCCCGUGGUGGUGACGGAUAACGGAGGAUCAGGGUUCGACUCCGGAGAAGGGGCCUGAGAAAUGGGCCACUACGUCUAAGGAUGGCAGCAGGCGCGCAAAUUACCCACUCUCGGCUCGAGGAGGUAGUGACGAGAAAUAACGAGACUGUUCUCUUUGAGGCCGGUCCAUCGGAAUGGGUACAAUUUAAACCCUUUAACGAGUAUCAAGCAGGGGCAAGUCUGGUGCCAGCAGCCGCGGUAAUUCCAGCUCUGCAAAUACAUAGAAUUAUUGCUGCGGUUAGAAAGCUCAUAGUUGGAUUCGUAUCGAUACCUUGGAACCCUUCGGGUGUCUCUAGGUGUUAUCGAUUUAUCGUAAUGUUCGGUUUUGAGCCUUAACAGGAUUCUUAACAGGCAUUGCAAGUUUACUUUGAACAAAUCAGAGUGCUUCAAACAGGCGUUUUCGCUUGAAUGAUCGUGCAUGGAAUAAUAGAAAAUGAUUUCGGUUCAGUUUUAUUGGUUUUACGGACUGAGAUAAUGGUUAACAGAGACAAACGGGGGCAUUUGUAUGGUCCCGUGAGAGGUGAAAUUCUUGGACCGUGGCCAGACAAACUACAGCGAAAGCAUUUGCCAAGAAUGUUUUUAUUAAUCAAGAACGAAAGUCAGAGGUUCGAAGGCGAUCAGAUACCGCCCUAGUUCGACCGUAAACGAUGCCAACUAGCGAUCCGCCGAUGGAAAUUAUAUUGCCUUGGUGGGGAGCUUCCCGGAAACGAAAGUCUUCCGGUUCCGGGGGAAGUAUGGUUGCAAAGCUGAAACUUAAAGGAAUUGACGGAAGGGCACCACCAGGAGUGGAGCCUGCGGCUUAAUUUGACUCAACACGGGGAAACUCACCCGGCCCGGACACUGUGAGGAUUGACAGAUUGAUAGCUUUUUCAUGAUUCAGUGGAUGGUGGUGCAUGGCCGUUCUUAGUUCGUGGAGUGAUUUGUCUGGUUUAUUCCGAUAACGAGCGAGACUCUAACCUACUAAAUAGUUGGUACAUACUCUUAGUGUAUACAGCUUCUUAGAGGGAUUUGCGGCGUUCAGCCGAAAGAAAUUGAGCAAUAACAGGUCUGUGAUGCCCUUAGAUGUCCGGGGCUGCACGCGCGCUACACUGGCAAAAUCAACGUGCUUGUCCUACCCUGAAAGGGGCGGGUAAACCAUUGAAAUAUUUGCCGUGAUUGGGAUCGGAAAUUGCAAUUAUUUUCCGUGAACGAGGAAUUCCAAGUAAGUGCGAGUCAUCAGCUCGCGUUGAUUACGUCCCUGCCCUUUGUACACACCGCCCGUCGCUGCCCGGGACUGAGCCAUUUCGAGAAAUUUGGGGACCGUUGAUUUAAUUUUUCUAAAUUACUUUGAUGGAAACCA